AUUGAACGCUGGCGGCAGGCCUAACACAUGCAAGUCGAACGAGUGGCGGACGGGUGAGUAAUGCUUGGGAAACUAGCUUAUGGAGGGGGAUAACUACGGGAAACUGUAGCUAAUACCGCAUACCAUCGGAUGAGCCCAAGUGGGAUUAGGUAGUGGGUGGGGUAACGGCUCACCUAGGCGACGAUCCCUAGCUGGUCUGAUAGGAUGACCAGCCACACUGGGACUGAGACACGGUCCAGACUCCUACGGGAGGCAGCAGUGGGGAAUAUUGCGCAAUGGGCGCAACCCUGACGCAGCCAUGCCGCGUGAAUGAAGAAGGCCUUCGGGUUGUAAAGUUCUUUCGGCAGCGAGGCGUUAACUACAGAAGAAGCACCGGCUAACUCCGUGCCAGCAGCCGCGGUAAUAC
RNAcentral lists this ribosomal RNA (406 nucleotides) under uncultured bacterium. RNAcentral's name for it is "partial 16S ribosomal RNA". It matches the Rfam family "Bacterial small subunit ribosomal RNA", at positions 30 to 526 of the family's 1533-position model. The record is from RNAcentral.